RNAcentral lists this ribosomal RNA (467 nucleotides) under uncultured bacterium. Its description in RNAcentral is "bacterial SSU rRNA". It matches the Rfam family "Bacterial small subunit ribosomal RNA", at positions 28 to 482 of the family's 1533-position model. The record is from RNAcentral.
GAUGAACGCUAGCUACAGGCUUAACACAUGCAAGUCGAGGGGCAGCAUUAUCGAAGCUUGCUUUGAUAGAUGGCGACCGGCGCACGGGUGAGUAACGCGUAUCCAACCUUCCCCAUAGUCAGGAAUAGCCCGGCGAAAGUCGAAUUAAUGCCUGAUGUUUUCCACGGACGGCAUCUGAUGUGGAACAAAGAUUCAUCGCUAUGGGAUGGGGAUGCGUCUGAUUAGCUUGUUGGCGGGGUAACGGCCCACCAAGGCAACGAUCAGUAGGGGUUCUGAGAGGAAGGUCCCCCCACAUUGGAACUGAGACACGGUCCAAAACUCCUACGGGAGGCAGCAGUGAGGAAUAUUGGGUCAGUGGGCGAGAGCCUGACCAGCCAAGUAGCGUGCAGGAAGACGGCCCUAUGGGUUGUAAACUGCUUUUAUAAGGGAAUAAAGUUAGUCUCGUGAGACUUUUUGCAUGUACCUUA